AGCGAACGCUGGCGGCAGGCUUAACACAUGCAAGUCGAGCGGGCGUAGCAAUACGUCAGCGGCAGACGGGUGAGUAACACGUGGGAACGUACCUUUUGGUUCGGAACAACACAGGGAAACUUGUGCUAAUACCGAAUAAGCCCUUACGGGGAAAGGAUUAUCGCCGAAAGAUCGGCCCGCGUCUGAUUAGCUUGUUGGUGAGGUAACGGCUCACCAAGGCGACGAUCAGUAGCUGGCUGAGAGGAUGAUCAGCCACACUGGGACUGAGACACGGCCCA
This 278-nucleotide ribosomal RNA is filed under the name uncultured bacterium. Its description in RNAcentral is "partial 16S ribosomal RNA". It matches the Rfam family "Bacterial small subunit ribosomal RNA", at positions 29 to 333 of the family's 1533-position model. The record is from RNAcentral.